GACGAACGCUGGCGGCGUGCUUAACACAUGCAAGUCGAACGGAAAGGCCCUGCUUUUGCGGGGUGCUCGAGUGGCGAACGGGUGAGUAACACGUGAGUAACCUGCGCUUGACUUUGGGAUAACUUCAGGAAACUGGUGCUAAUACCGGAUAGGAGCUCCUGCUGCAUGGUGGGGGUUGGAAAGUUUCGGCGGUUGGGGAUGGACGCGCGGCUUAUCAGCUUGUUGGUGGGGUAGUGGCCUACCAAGGCUUUGACGGGUGGCCGGCCUGAGAGGGUGACCGGCCACAUUGGGACUGAGAUACGGCCCAGACUCCUACGGGAGGCAGCAGUGGGGAGUAUUGCACAAUGGGCGGAAGCCUGAUGCAGCAACGCCGCGUGCGGGAUGACGGCCUUCGGGUUGUAAACCGCUUUCGCCUGUGACGAAGCGUGAGUGACGGUAAUGGGUAAAGAAGCACCGGCUAACUACGUG
Molecule: ribosomal RNA, 468 nt
Filed under: uncultured bacterium
Lineage: Bacteria
Description: partial 16S ribosomal RNA
Rfam family: Bacterial small subunit ribosomal RNA
Source: RNAcentral